Tupaia belangeri (northern tree shrew) is the source of this 161-nucleotide small nuclear RNA. Its record names the gene U4. It matches the Rfam family "U4 spliceosomal RNA". From Rfam's summary of the family: U4 small nuclear RNA (U4 snRNA) is a component of the major U2-dependent spliceosome. The structure of U4 snRNA from yeast and human has been reported. The record is from Ensembl. Lineage: Eukaryota; Metazoa; Chordata; Mammalia; Scandentia; Tupaiidae.
AGCUUUGCGCAGUGGCAGUAUCGUAGCCAAUGAGGUUUAUCCGAGGCGCGAUUAUUGCUAAUUGAAAACCACCAUACCACUGGUGUAUAAUCUUUUUAAUGUGUUGUUGAAUUAAAUUUUCUAGUAUCUCAUUGAAAAUUUUUGCAUCUGUAUCCAUCAGG